GACGAACGCUGGCGGCGUGCUUAACACAUGCAAGUCGAGCGGAAAGGCCCUUUCGGGGGUACUCGAGCAGCGAACGGGUGAGUAACACGUGAGUAAUCUGCCCUUGGCUUUGGGAUAACCACCGGAAACGGUGGCUAAUACCGGAUACGACCACUCCCGGCAUCGGGUGGUGGUGGAAAGUUUUUUCGGCCCGGGAUGUGCUCGCGGCCUAUCAGCUUGUUGGUGGGGUAAUGGCCUACCAAGGCUUCGACGGGUAGCCGGCCUGAGAGGGUGACCGGCCACACUGGGACUGAGACACGGCCCAGACUCCUACGGGAGGCAGCAGUGGGGAAUAUUGGACAAUGGGCGGAAGCCUGAUCCAGCAACGCCGCGUGAGGGAUGACGGCCUUCGGGUUGUAAACCUCUUUCAGUACCGACGAAGCGCCGAUGAUGGCGGUGACGGUAGGUACAGAAGAAGCACCGGCCAACUACGUGCCAGCCGCCGCGGUAA
This 490-nucleotide ribosomal RNA is filed under the name uncultured bacterium. RNAcentral's name for it is "partial 16S ribosomal RNA". It matches the Rfam family "Bacterial small subunit ribosomal RNA", at positions 28 to 523 of the family's 1533-position model. The record is from RNAcentral.